Bicyclus anynana (squinting bush brown) is the source of this 270-nucleotide long non-coding RNA. RefSeq lists it as uncharacterized. The transcript has 3 exons. NCBI's taxonomy places the organism in Eukaryota, Metazoa, Arthropoda, Insecta, Lepidoptera, Nymphalidae. The record is from RefSeq and is a predicted model, not a curated record.
AUGAUAUUGGUCCAUCAUCAGAUCCAGGAACUCGUCAAGAUCGUUUGCAUCAUCCGCAACUAGCUGAUACAUGUUGGAUAAGAAUGGAACAUAAUUACAGUGUAAUUAGUAGACAAGACAGAGUUGCCAAAGGGAAGAAAGUCAUCCACAAGCAAGUGCCAAUGAAACCCGUUGACUCGACCAUCAGACGAAUGCGAUCUGAAAUAUCUCGCUUGCGUAAACGUAGUCAGUCUUUUAAGACUAGACUGGCCAGUGCCGAAAAAAUCUCUG